This is a long non-coding RNA of Myzus persicae (green peach aphid), 274 nucleotides long. RefSeq lists it as uncharacterized. The record is from RefSeq and is a predicted model, not a curated record. The transcript has 2 exons. NCBI's taxonomy places the organism in Eukaryota, Metazoa, Arthropoda, Insecta, Hemiptera, Aphididae.
UGAAGAUUGUGUGUUGUAUUAUAUUUGUGGCUAUAUCAUCAAAAAUCCCACCAAGCAAAUAAAAUGUAAAGAUUGCCUUACUUUAAUAACUGGUAAAAAACCAAACUAUGAUAAACCUGAAGCUAUAUUUCUUAAUUUAAAAUCAUGAGAAGGUUUGACUUAUCCAAAUGAUUUCAUUUUUAGAUUAUUGACGGCCGUCGAAAAUACAUUUGCAAGACUUUACGAAAAUAAUAAUGUUUUUUUAUUAAUAAUUGAUGACUUUUUCAAUAAUAAU